This 74-nucleotide ribosomal RNA is filed under the name Vigna umbellata (rice bean). RNAcentral describes it as "partial small subunit ribosomal RNA". It matches the Rfam family "Eukaryotic small subunit ribosomal RNA", at positions 1749 to 1822 of the family's 1831-position model. The record is from RNAcentral. Lineage: Eukaryota; Viridiplantae; Streptophyta; Magnoliopsida; Fabales; Fabaceae.
GAGAAGUCCACUGAACCUUAUCAUUUAGAGGAAGGAGAAGUCGUAACAAGGUUUCUGUAGGCGAACCUGUGGAA